UCAUUACACAAAUAUGAAGGCGGGCUGGAACCUCUCGGGGUUACAGCCUUGCUGAAUUAUUCACCCUUGUCUUUUGCGUACUUCUUGUUUCCUUGGUGGGUUCGCCCACCACUAGGACAAACAUAAACCUUUUGUAAUUGCAAUCAGCGUCAGUAACAAAUUAAUAAUUACAACUUUCAACAACGGAUCUCUUGGUUCUGGCAUCGAUGAAGAACGCAGCGAAAUGCGAUAAGUAGUGUGAAUUGCAGAAUUCAGUGAAUCAUCGAAUCUUUGAACGCACAUUGCGCCCUUUGGUAUUCCAAAGGGCAUGCCUGUUCGAGCGUCAUUUGUACCCUCAAGCUUUGCUUGGUGUUGGGCGUCUUGUCUCUAGCUUUGCUGGAGACUCGCCUUAAAGUAAUUGGCAGCCGGCCUACUGGUUUCGGAGCGCAGCACAAGUCGCACUCUCUAUCAGCAAAGGUCUAGCAUCCAUUAAGCCUUUUUUUCAACUUUUGACCUCGGAUCAGGUAGGGAUACCCGCUGAACUUAAGCAUAUCAAUAAGCGGAGGAAAAGAAACCAACAGGGAUUGCCCUAGUAACGGCGAGUGAAGCGGCAACAGCUCAAUUUGAAAUCUGGCUCUUUUAGAGUCCGAGUUGUAAUUUGCAGAGGGCGCUUGGCUUUGGCAGCGGUCCAAGUUCCUUGGAACAGGA
RNAcentral lists this ribosomal RNA (687 nucleotides) under fungal sp. RNAcentral's name for it is "eukaryotic LSU rRNA". The stretch from base 172 to 325 matches the Rfam family "5.8S ribosomal RNA". Lineage: Eukaryota; Fungi. The record is from RNAcentral.